GUUACUGUAGCUUAACUACAAAGCACGGCAUUGAAGCUGCCGCGAUGGCUCCCAACCCCCAGAAACA
This 67-nucleotide transfer RNA is filed under the name Phyllodactylus unctus (San Lucan gecko). Its description in RNAcentral is "tRNA-Phe". The record is from RNAcentral. Lineage: Eukaryota; Metazoa; Chordata; Lepidosauria; Squamata; Phyllodactylidae.